This 72-nucleotide transfer RNA is filed under the name Camelus bactrianus (Bactrian camel). It matches the Rfam family "tRNA". Rfam says of the family: Transfer RNA (tRNA) molecules are approximately 80 nucleotides in length. RNAcentral also lists the same sequence under 3 other names. The record is from Rfam by way of RNAcentral. Lineage: Eukaryota; Metazoa; Chordata; Mammalia; Artiodactyla; Camelidae.
GUGGGUACAGCUUAGUGGUAGAGUGUAUGCUUAGCAAGCACAAGGUUCUGGGUUCAAUCCCCAGUACCUCUG